RNAcentral lists this ribosomal RNA (440 nucleotides) under uncultured bacterium. RNAcentral describes it as "partial 16S ribosomal RNA". It matches the Rfam family "Bacterial small subunit ribosomal RNA", at positions 338 to 795 of the family's 1533-position model. The record is from RNAcentral.
CCUACGGGGUGCAGCAGUGGGGGAUAUUGCACAAUGGGGGAAACCCUGAUGCAGCGACGCCGCGUGGGUGAAGAAGCGCCUCGGCGCGUAAAGCCCUGUCAGCAGGGAAGAAAAUUACGGUACCUGAAGAAGAAGCCCCGGCUAACUACGUGCCAGCAGCCGCGGUAAUACGUAGGGGGCAAGCGUUAUCCGGAUUUACUGGGUGUAAAGGGGGCGCAGACGGCGAUGCAAGCCAGGAGUGAAAGCCCGGGGCCCAACCCCGGGACUGCCCUUGGAACUGCGUGGCUAGAGUGCAGGAGGGGCAGGCGGAAUUCCUGGUGUAGCGGUGAAAUGCGUAGAUAUCAGGAGGAACACCGGUGGCGAAGGCGGCCUGCUGGACUGCAACUGACGUUGAGGCCCGAAGGCGUGGGGAGCAAACAGGAUUAGAUACCCGGGUAGUC